UAGGGAAUCUUCCGCAAUGGGCGAAAGCCUGACGGAGCAACGCCGCGUGAGUGAUGAAGGUCUUCGGAUCGUAAAACUCUGUUAUUAGGGAAGAACAAAUGUGUAAGUAACUAUGCACGUCUUGACGGUACCUAAUCAGAAAGCCACGGCUAACUACGUGCCAGCAGCCGCGGUAAUACGUAGGUGGCAAGCGUUAUCCGGAAUUAUUGGGCGUAAAGCGCGCGUAGGCGGUUUUUUAAGUCUGAUGUGAAAGCCCACGGCUCAACCGUGGAGGGUCAUUGGAAACUGGAAAACUUGAGUGCAGAAGAGGAAAGUGGAAUUCCAUGUGUAGCGGUGAAAUGCGCAGAUAUAUGGAGGAACACCAGUGGCGAAGGCGACUUUCUGGUCUGUAACUGACGCUGAUGUGCGAAAGCGUGGGGAUCAAACAGG
RNAcentral lists this ribosomal RNA (429 nucleotides) under Actinomycetes bacterium. RNAcentral describes it as "Actinobacteria bacterium partial 16S ribosomal RNA". It matches the Rfam family "Bacterial small subunit ribosomal RNA", at positions 355 to 776 of the family's 1533-position model. Lineage: Bacteria; Bacillati; Actinomycetota; Actinomycetes. The record is from RNAcentral.